CGUUGUUGCUCGCUGAGAGAAGUGCUGAGUGGACCCUCCUGUUGGAGCCGCUGCACUUCCCUUUGUCCCGCAGAUUUGUUUUUUUUCCAUCCUGGUUGAGCUUUCUAGCGUGACACUAAUAAGUCCAUAGCAUCAUAUAUGCGGCUUAGCAGGGCGCAGGGGGCAUAUCCUAACAAAUGUGCGGAGUCAAUUGGUUUCCCAAGGGGACGCUACUGAGAAGCUGGCUCACCAAGUCCCGACCCAGACUGCUGCUGCUCAUCGCUGGCUUGAAGAGGCCUCAAGUCACCCUCAUGCGCAGAAAAAGGAUGAAACGCACAAAAGUAGCAAAGGCCACGUAAGCGAACCUGUAGUCGUAUGCCGCACUUCACUUGACUCGCUGACACAGAGAGAAGCUCCAUCUGCCGUUGAUAUGAAUGCAGAUCCAGAAACAGAAAAAGCCUCUGAGUCAUCUCUGCCAAACAUACGAACUAAACAUCAAAGCAGAAGCAGAAGAGGCUCAGCGUUUGUUGUGAAAAUGAUGGAUCUACCACAAAGAUCCAGACCCCCCGACUAAGAUCCAGAGCCUCUCAGUGACAUUUGUUCAUCUUUCUCUUAAAUACACUUCUGUCAUGCUUCAGUUCACUACACAACGUGUGACAGCACAUUAUUGCUAUUGCCUUUGGUUGACAGUGCUUUCCUUUCCUGUGUUCCUGUGUUCAGAGACAAUCCUCUGGUCAGGAUUUCAGGGACUUGUAUUUUUUGAUUCCUAAUGAUGCGUGUGGGUGAAAAAUAUGAAGAAAAUAAUGAAAAACAGAAAGAAAAACUCAUAAUUGCCACGAGUUAGUAACCAACAGCACACCAGUGUUUUAUUCAUACAUUUUAUAUGAUAGUUAUAUCAUUCCAAAUGGACCGUUAUGUGGUCCCAUUAUCAUUUAACCAAAACAAUAAUCAUAGAAACAUUAUUAUUUUUAUUUAAAAAAAAUAUAUUAAUUAAUUAAUUGAAAAAAAAUCAAGCAGCUAUUUGACAUCUUAUAACUAACAGGUUAUUAUUGAACACGUCCAAAAAACUGCAUUAAUAAUUGUUAGGUGAAUCUCAUGAAGCAUGUCAAAUCUGGCACAAAAUCCAUGAUAGAAAUAAGAAAUUAUAUUUUGCAUUAAGAAAACUAUCAUAUUUUAGGACCAUUAGUAUUUUUGUUUACAUAUUUUACUAACACAUUUUCCACCAAAAUAGUCAUUUCUAAAAUGUUUUUUUUUUUCCCCUCAAUAGUUAUUCUUAUUACAUUCUCAUUAUUAUCGUACACUAAUUCUAAAUUCUGCAUGUCUGGGCACAUUAUAUAAAAACAAAUGUUAUCAAUUAUAAAUACACUUUAUUUUGAAUCAUUUUAAUUUAAUUUAUCUUUCUUUUUGCAAAAAUAUAAUUCAUAUAUUUUAUAAAUGGUUUUAUAAAUAUUUUAGUUUACAAUUUUUGUUAAUUGGUUUCUUGUUUCAUCUGAUUUUGAGGUGAAAUAUUACUCAAACAUGUCUUAACGUGUUUCGUGAGAUUCGCCCACACAAUACGAUGACUCAAAACACAUGCUUGCACAGUUUGAAACUUAUUUUCUCUUUUGAACAAUUCUGUCUUUUGUGUUCAUACUGUCUUCUAUCUCUAGCUACUGUCAAAGCAGACACACAGAUUUGUUUGAACAAUCACAUAAAUUUCUGAGCAUUUUAAGAUUUUUUUCAGUUAUUCUUUGAAUAAACAAGGUAACACUUUAUAUUAAGUCAUCCCAUUUGUCCUUUGUUACAUAUUUGUAGUUAUAACAUAUGAAGUAGUAAUCACACAAUUCUAAACCAAAAAUACAAACAUCUCUAAUAUAAUAUAUAUACAGACAAAGCAAACAACUGACAUCAGCUCUUUUAUAAUAUUUGUUUAAUAUUUGUUUUUAUUAAUUAAAUUAUUCAAAACUAAGUAAGCACUUAAUAUAAAGUGUGACCAUCAUGUGGCAUUAUGUAAAAACCUAAGCCCUGAGGAUGAUUUAUGGGAAUUUUUCUAUUGUAUAACACUAAUUACACACACAUACAGUCUUGCGUUGUCUUUAGUUGUCGUUUUUGCAGUGCUAGUUUGAAUCAGUUUUCAUUAUAUUUAAUCUAUUUUCUAGUUUCUCAUUUGCUUUUUUCAUUCGACUGAUUUCCUUUCAAGCAUUAAAUAUGAAACCCAUUGAGGAAGAUGCAAAGAGAUCCUGCGGGAUAAGAAAGUAAACAUGAGCAGGUUCGACUUACUGCACAAUUCACCCAUUCUGUGUCCUAACCAGAUGUGAAGCAACAAGUUUCUUGUGUAAUUCGAUCUGUCUGCACUCAAACACGACACAAUCACAUACAGUCAGAUGAUAUUUGACAUAUAAUAUUUAGUUAUAUGGGCCAAUGAGAGUAACUUUAUUACAGCAGGUCUGGUUGGGACACCGUGCAAAAGGUUUAGCUUCAGAGGUUACGUGAUUUCAGAUGGGCGAGUGUUUGGGAUGUUAUUUUGCGGUGAGUUUCUGCUGGAUGAGCCUGUAUCUGUUGAGCUGCUGCUCAGAGACGGAUGGCUGAAGGCUUGCCAGAGCCUGUCUGAAGUCUUCUGAACACAGAGUCAGAGCGCUGGCCUCUGAAUCCACACUUGCAUCACAGACACAGCAAUGAAGAAAGAGUGAAGGCAAGUAGUGCAGACAUUGAGAAAGAAGCAGAGAGACUGACAGAGUCAUGCCAGAAACAUCCUCUACUCAACACACAUAUGAACGCUUGACCAACACAUUGCCAAAGCACAGGUUUACAAUGAGGGGAAAUGACUGUAUAGCGUUACUUGUGUAGAGUUUGUUUUUAGGCUCAGAAAUGCUGGAAUAUGGACACAUGGGUUUCAUGAAUAAAAUGUACUGUUCUAUUCUUCUUGGUUUAAACAUGUCUCUAUCCUCUAAACUUUAAACAAUAAAGAUCUCAGGUGUAGAACUGGCAAAUGCACAGACACUGUUUUCAUAUUUUGUUUAUUAAUAGAUGUUUGCAUGGAAGUGAAUGUUUGAACAAGCUGAUGAGUGUCUGUGUAAAAGCUGACGGAUCGGUGAAGAUGAAAGAUGAAGGAUCAAAGGAGUGUUGUCAAGUUCCUACAAACAACUAAUGAACAACUCUCACUUCUUAUUCACUUGUUAUUGAAUACAGGGGAGUCGUGGCCUAGUGGUUAGAGAGUUUGACUCCUAACCCUAGGGUUGUGGGUUUGAGUCUCGGGCUGGCAAUUCCAUGACUUAGGUGCCAUUGAGCAAGGCACCCUACUGCCAACUGCUGUGUGUGUGUACAAUUUGGAUGGGUUAAAUGCAGAGCACUAAUUCUGAGUAUGGGUCACCAUACUUGGCUGUAUGUCACGUCACUUUCAAUACUGAAAGAAGACCUUAAGUGUCUUCUUAUUGAAAAAUAAUACUUUUUAUGUGUUAACUACAUUGUGUAAUUGUAUAUUGUUAUGCCCCAUGGCUCGAGAAGGACGUAACAAAAACGGGGACACACAAGAAAGUGCAAAUAACAUGAAUUUAUUAACAAAAUGGAACUAAAUAAAAAGAAAAUAGUGUAGUAGGAAGCAGUCAGGAAUCAGUAGUGUAAAGUUAAGUUAGCAAUGUUGGAUGCAUCAAAUAAAAUUUAAGAGAACUGGUUUAAACAGAAUCCAAACAAAACCAAGUCCGAAAUGCAGCUCCCCCCUGGCCAGGUGUCAUACUGCUUUUUAAAUCGCAAGACAGGAAAUCAACAACAGUUGCCCUUGAGCCAGGUGUCCCAGCCAAACUAUGAAAAAAAGUGUGACUUAUAGUCCGGAAAAUACAGUACUGUAAUUAUUAAUAAUUCAUAUUAUUUAAAAUUAAGUCUUGUAAAGUCAAGUCAAGUCACCUUUAUUUUUUAUAGCGCUUUAAACAAAAUACAUUGCGUCAAAGCAACUAAACAACAUUCAUUAGGAGAACAGUGUGUCAAUAAUGCAAAAUGAUAGUUAAAGGCAGUUCAUCAUUGAAUUCAGUUAUGUCAUAUCUGUUCAGUUUAAAUAGUGUCUGUGCAUUUAUUUGCAAUCAAGGCAACGAUAUCGCUGUAGACGGAGUUACCCCAACUAAGCAAGCCAGAGUCAACAGCGGCAAGGAACCGAAACUCUAUCGGUGACAGAAUGGAGAAAAAAAACUUUUUUUUUUUCAGAAUUUAGCAAUAAGAAAUUACUCGUCAUACAGUUUUUUAUUUCGACUAUGCAUUCCAUUCGUUUUUCAAAUUGGUGUGUUUCACCGGGACAUGAAGAAAUAUAGAGCUGAGUAUCAUCAGCAUAACAGUGAAAGCUAACACCAUGUUUCCUGAUGAUAUCUCCCAAGGGCAACAUAUAAAGCGUGAAGAAUAGCGGCCCUAGUACUGAGCCUUGAGGUACUCCAUACUGCACUUGUGUUAAACUUAUGUAAUCAAAUACAGUAAUAUAUAAUGUAUACAGUAUUGUUCAAAAUAAUAGCAGUACAAUGUGACUAACCAGAAUAAUCAAGGUUUUUAGUAUAUUUUUUAUUGCUACGUGGCAAACAAGUUACCAGUAGGUUCAGUAGAUUGUCAGAAAACAAACAAGACCCAGCAUUCAUGAUAUGCACGCUCUUAAGGCUGUGCAAUUGGGCAAUUAGUUGAAAGGGGUGUGUUCAAAAAAAUAGCAGUGUCUACCUUUGACUCAAAACUAUUUUGUACAAACAUUUUUUUUUCUGGGAUUUAGCAAUCCUGUGAAUCACUAAACUAAUAUUUAGUUGUAUGACCACAGUUUUUUAAAA
Carassius auratus (goldfish) is the source of this 4751-nucleotide long non-coding RNA. NCBI's taxonomy places the organism in Eukaryota, Metazoa, Chordata, Actinopteri, Cypriniformes, Cyprinidae. The record is from Ensembl.